GGCGGAUUAGUGGCGAACGGGUGAGUAACACGUGAGCAAUCUGCCCUUGACUCUGGGAUAACUACUCGAAAGAGUAGCUAAUACCGGAUACGACACCUUGGGGCAUCCCGAGGUGUGGAAAGAAUUUCGGUCAAGGAUGAGCUCGCGGCCUAUCAGCUUGUUGGUGAGGUAAAAGCUCACCAAGGCGACGACGGGUAGCCGGCCUGAGAGGGUGACCGGCCACACUGGGACUGAGACACGGCCCAGACUCC
This 251-nucleotide ribosomal RNA is filed under the name uncultured bacterium. Its description in RNAcentral is "partial 16S ribosomal RNA". It matches the Rfam family "Bacterial small subunit ribosomal RNA", at positions 86 to 339 of the family's 1533-position model. The record is from RNAcentral.